This is a non-coding RNA of Arvicanthis niloticus (Nile rat), 404 nucleotides long. Lineage: Eukaryota; Metazoa; Chordata; Mammalia; Rodentia; Muridae. The record is from the annotation of a RefSeq genome assembly.
UGAAUAUUCAGAACUCUUCAUAUCAAGUUUUCAGAAUGAGGUGCUCUCUCCAGUUCCUGGGGCUGCUUGUGCUCUGGAUCCCUGGAGCCAGUGGGGAUAUUGUGAUGACCCAGGAUGAACUCUCCAAUCCUGUCACUUCUGAAGAAUCAGUUUUCAUCUCUUGCAGGUCUAAUAAGAGUCUUCUACACAGCAAUGGCAAGACAUACUUGAAUUGGUACCUGCAGAGGCCAGGCCAGUCUCCUCAGCUCCUGAUCUAUUGGAUGUCCACCCGUGCAUCAGGAGUCUCAGACAGGUUUAGUGGCAGUGGGUCAGAAACAGAUUUCACACUGCAUAUCAGUAGAGUAGAGGCUGUGGAUAUAGGUGUGUAUUAUUGUCAACAAGUUCUAGAGUAUCCUCCACAGUGA